Molecule: ribosomal RNA, 237 nt
Filed under: uncultured bacterium
Lineage: Bacteria
Description: partial 16S ribosomal RNA
Rfam family: Bacterial small subunit ribosomal RNA
Source: RNAcentral
CCUACGGGGCGCAGCAGUGGGGAAUAUUGCACAAUGGGGGAAACCCUGAUGCAGCGACGCCGCGUGAGUGAAGAAGUAUUUCGGUAUGUAAAGCUCUAUCAGCAGGAACGAGACAAGACGGUACCUGACUAAGAAGCCCCGGCUAACUACGUGCCAGCAGCCGCGGUAAUACGUAGGGGGCAAGCGUUAUCCGGAUUUACUGGGUGUAAAGGGCGUGUAGGCGGGAGUGCAAGUCAG